CUCUUAUUAAGAGCGAUGGAGGCAUAGGGGCCUAUGAAGUCGCGGCAACCUCCUUGAAUAGGAAGGUGCCGACCCAAGCGAGUUUAACUCGAGCAAUAAGAG
RNAcentral lists this non-coding RNA (102 nucleotides) under Turicibacter sp. H121. Its description in RNAcentral is "SAM riboswitch aptamer (S box leader)". It matches the Rfam family "SAM riboswitch aptamer (S box leader)". Rfam says of the family: The SAM riboswitch is found upstream of a number of genes which code for proteins involved in methionine or cysteine biosynthesis in Gram-positive bacteria. The SAM riboswitch acts at the level of transcription termination control. The record is from Rfam by way of RNAcentral. Lineage: Bacteria; Bacillati; Bacillota; Erysipelotrichia; Erysipelotrichales; Turicibacteraceae. RNAcentral also lists the same sequence under 1 other name.